UACGUAGGGCCGAGCGUUGUCCGGAGUUACUGGGCGUAAAGCGCGCGCAGGCGGCUCGUCAAGCCUGACGGUGAAGCCCCGGCUCAACCGGGGAGGGUCGUCGGGGACCUGGCGGGCUUGAGGUCGGCAGGGGUUGGUGGAAUUCCCCGGUGUAGUGGUGAAAUGCGCAGAUAUCGGGAGGAACACCAAUGGCGAAGGCAGGCU
This 204-nucleotide ribosomal RNA is filed under the name uncultured bacterium. RNAcentral's name for it is "partial 16S ribosomal RNA". It matches the Rfam family "Bacterial small subunit ribosomal RNA", at positions 524 to 727 of the family's 1533-position model. The record is from RNAcentral.